CCUCUUAAAAUAAUAACAAAAACACCAAUUUCAAACAUGGAAACUUCGUAGAAAACAAAAACAAACCCAAUUGCACCUUAUUAAAAUCAUCUUCAAAACUUUAUUUUCCUUACACAAAAUACUGUAAUAAAUUAACAACACCACCAUUCAAUCCAAACACCAACACACUCUCUCAUAAUUAAUCACAAUGCUUCCAUUUCAGUGUCGCCGUCGCCGCCGUCACAAAUCCGAAAUGACUUACCUCACCAUCCUCAUCAGCAUUCUCUUCCUCUUCCCGGCGACAACCUCUCAAACUCAACCAGAAACUUACACUUUCGAAACCUUCAAUUCCACACACAACAACGUACUCGAUGUUAUACCCUCCGCAUCAAUCAACAACGGAGCUUUACAAGUCACCCCAGACAGCGCCGGAAGCUCAAUGGUCGUCACUCUCCACAACAACUCCGGCAGAAUCUUCUUCAAAACCCCUUUCAAACUCUGGGAAUCAUCAUCCGGAAAACUCGUUUCCUUCAACACCUCUUUCCUCAUCAACGUCUUUCGUCCCAACAACGAAAUUCCUCCCGGCGAAGGUCUAGCUUUCAUCAUCGCACCGUCUCUUACAAUUCCUCUCAACAGCUUCGGCGGUUACCUUGGUUUAACAAACGCAACAACUGACGGUAACGUAACUAACCGUUUCGUCGCCGUUGAACUUGACACCGUUAAACAAGAUUUCGAUAUUAACAACAAUCACAUCGGACUCGACAUAAACAGUGUUCGUUCCAAUGUUUCUGUUCCUCUUAAAUUCGAAAUAGCUCCUAAUGGAACUAAGUUUUAUGUUUUGUGGAUUGAAUACGACGGUGAUCGGAGAAAUAUUGAUGUUUACAUGGCGGAGCAACCUUCCAGGGAUUUACCUAUAGUGAAAAAACCGGUUAAACCGGUUUUAAAUUCGAGUUUGGAUCUAAAACAAUUUCUGAACCGGGAAUCUUAUUUUGGGUUUUCUGCUUCAACCGGAAAUAAUGUUGAGUUAAAUUGUAUACUUAAAUGGAAUAUUUCAAUUCAGGUUUUUGAUGAGGAGAAGGGUAAAAAUGGAAAAACAUUGGCUAUUGGAUUAGGUGUUGGGAUUCCUCUAUUAAUUAUUUUAAUUGGUGGAUUUGGGUGGUAUUAUUAUUUGAUUAAGAAGAAGAAGAAGAGUGAAGAUUAUGGUUCUAAUUCACAGAUUAUGGGUACAUUGAAGAGUUUACCAGGGACACCAAGAGAGUUUAAUUAUCAGGAAUUGAAAAAAGCUACUAAUAAUUUUGAUGAGAAAUUUAAACUUGGUGAAGGUGGAUACGGUGUCGUUUAUAGAGGUAUAUUGCCUAAGGAGAAAUUACAAGUUGCUGUUAAGAAAUUUUCUAGAGAUAAGAUGAAAAGUACUGAUGAUUUCUUGGCUGAACUUACUAUUAUCAAUCGUCUUCGUCAUAAACAUCUUGUUAAGUUACAAGGAUGGUGCCACAAAAAUGGAGUAUUGCUCUUGGUAUACGAUUACAUGCCUAAUGGAAGUUUAGACGACCACAUAUUUUGUGAGGAAGGAACAAGCAGAACCCCGCUAAGUUGGCCUUUAAGGUACAAAAUACUAUCAGGUGUCGCUUCUGCAUUGAAUUAUCUCCACAACGAGUAUGAUCAAACAGUCGUUCACAGAGACCUUAAAGCAAGCAACAUAAUGCUAGACUCAGAUUUCAACGCUCGUUUAGGAGAUUUCGGGUUAGCACGUGCACUAGAGAAUGAAAAAACAUCCUAUGCAGAAUUAGAAGGAGUACAAGGUACAAUGGGAUACAUAGCACCAGAAUGUUUCCACACAGGAAAAGCAACAAGAGAAUCAGAUGUUUAUGGAUUCGGUGCUGUGUUACUUGAAACCGUGUGUGGUCAAAGACCAUGGACUAAAAUCGAAGGGUACCAAUUUUUGGUUGAUUGGGUUUGGUAUUUGCAUCGCGAAGGAAGAAUAUUGGAAGCUGUUGAUAAAAGUGUUGGCAAUGAAUAUGAUGUUGAAGAGGUAGAGAGAAUAUUGAAACUUGGAUUGAUUUGUUCUCAUCCUGUUGCUGGCGAGAGACCAAAUUUGCAAACAAUUGUUCAGAUUUUAUCUGGUUCGGUUAAUGUUCCUUAUGUGCCGCCUUUUAAACCGUCUUUUAUGUGGCCCGCUGUGGAUUUAGCUAGUCUUGCAAGUACUGAUUUUACAGGAGGAACAACUACUAGUGAGUAUACACCAAUGACUAGUAACAAUACACAAUCUUCUUUGCGCGUUGAAUUCUCAGAUAAUGGUUCUAUGGUCUAAGACUAAGACUAAUAUCUUUUUCUUUUUGUUUGUAUGUUGAUUAGCAUUUCUUGAUUUUCUUCCUCUGAGAAACAGGAAGAAAAUUUGUUCAGACUUUUUUAUUUUGUUGUAAAAUUUUAAUUUAACUUGAUUUUUAAGUGAUUACUAAGUGUAGAUUCUUUUUUCUUCUAUUUUUUUUUUUUUUAUUGGAAAGGAAUGGAAUCAAUGUGCAUCAAACAAUGUAUAAAAUUUUGAUGAAGUAUGUUAUUAUGUUUUGUUUUGCACUCUUUUGUUCUUGCAUGUGAUUAGAGAUUCUUAUAUAAUUUACAAAGCUGUUAGCUUAGAUGACAAUAUUCUAAACAAAAUUGGGUUCCACAUUGAUAUAAAUUAUACAACUUGUUAAAGUUGCCCCCACAGGCACAAGUGAAAUCAGUAGAAAUUGCCAAUCAAGUCCAUAAACACUACUACAAAACACCACAUCACGUGUAAAGGCUAGCAAGGAGAAAAAGAUUUCCACGCCAAAUCAGUAGCCAAGGAAAAAGCCAAAUAAGUUAGUCAAACAAAUGAGUGGAAUCCAAGGUAUCAUCCUUGACACUUUACCAUUAAAAACAAAACACUUUCAAAACCAAAAAAACUAAAGAGCCAUAGUAUUAAGGAUGAUACAUUCAAGCUGACAGUAGACACUACCCCAUAAUUUCAUCAAGAAAUUUAGUUUUGAUUCAUUUAUGUGGAUUUCUUUUUUUUUCUCUCUUCGUUUUAUGCUUUCAGGAUCUUCCCACUGACCUUAAGCAGAGAAACGAACUAAAGAAGAUUUGCUCAUCAAGUCUUGCCUCUGAAUUUCCUCAGGAUUGUAGAUGUUAUCCAGCUGAUAAACAGGAUGAUCUGCACAAGUUUUUGUGUCUCUUUAAAGAGCAAAGGCUUAAAAUUCCUCAUUGGAGAACUCAUCGAUCCUACCUCAUGGCUCGUAAGGUUUUCACAUAGCUCCACACUAUGAUGGGAUUUGUGGCCUAUGGUUAUGAAUUUAAUUGAUGAAUCCAAAGUGCUUGUUUUAAGUUCUUUUCAGAUACAAAUCUGAGGGUGAUAAACUUUCAUCAUCUUACAAUCUUUCUUGCGAUGUAGAACUGCACAUCAUGGAAAAUGUUGUACAAGUUGUAAUAGGGAUCGAUGGUUGUGUGUGGAUUAAAAUUGCAUAAGAUUUCGGAUGUAUUAAUUUAUUUAUUUUUGAUAAA
This is an RNA transcript of Trifolium pratense (red clover), 3495 nucleotides long. It is a transcript of the gene named probable L-type lectin-domain containing receptor kinase S.5, with no coding region annotated. The record is from RefSeq and is a predicted model, not a curated record. Lineage: Eukaryota; Viridiplantae; Streptophyta; Magnoliopsida; Fabales; Fabaceae. The transcript has 4 exons.